This 73-nucleotide transfer RNA is filed under the name Araneus ventricosus. It matches the Rfam family "tRNA". From Rfam's summary of the family: Transfer RNA (tRNA) molecules are approximately 80 nucleotides in length. Their secondary structure includes four short double-helical elements and three loops (D, anti-codon, and T loops). The record is from Rfam by way of RNAcentral. Lineage: Eukaryota; Metazoa; Arthropoda; Arachnida; Araneae; Araneidae.
GCCACCACAGCUCAGAGGUUAGAGCACUGGUCUCGUAAACCAGGGGUCGCGAGUUCGAAUCUCGCUGGUGGCU